RNAcentral lists this ribosomal RNA (684 nucleotides) under Triticum aestivum (bread wheat). RNAcentral's name for it is "partial small subunit ribosomal RNA". The record is from RNAcentral. Lineage: Eukaryota; Viridiplantae; Streptophyta; Magnoliopsida; Poales; Poaceae.
AUGCAUUUUACUACUAGCAUGCAUGAUGGACUGCUUUUCCCCCUUUUUCCUUUUGAAAUGCAUGUUGCACUGCUGAGUGCUGAGCGUCUUGCACAAGGUUCUCCCUCCAUCCGCAAGUACCCGCUGAGCAUGAAGGAGGUUCUUGGGCUAACCACCGGCCGCAAGUACCCGCUGGAGGUCGUCGCCGACCCCAAAGCUCCCAGCUCAUCUCUUUCUUUGAAUUUGAUAUACGUCAUGCAUGUGUAUGCAAAACAUGUCCAUGCGUUGCAACAAGAAAAAGGUGUCCUUGCACCGUCCUACUUGAAUGCACCACAUAAGCAUGUCUAUGAACAUAGCAAACACGGUUGUGAUGAAUCCCGCGCGUCACCCGCGAGGACGCCAUCAUUGAUGGGUACGAUGUGCCCAAGGGUGCGCGUGUGGUCCAUCGGCCGGCACCCGGAGCUGUGGGACGCCCCGGAGGAGUUCAGGCCAGAGAGGUUUAUUGGGAGCAAGAUCGACGUGAAAGGGCAGGACCUGGAGCUUCUUCCAUUCGGGUCUGGCCGGCGGAUGUGCCCCGGCUACAACCUCGGGCUCAAGGAGGUGCGCCUUAGCCUAGCGAACCUACUGCACGGGUUCACCUGGACACUACCGGAUGGGAUGGCCAAGGAGGAGCUGAGCAUUGCAUGGACGUGGUUUUUGGGCUAA